UACGGAGGGAGCUAGCGUUGUUCGGAAUCACUGGGCGUAAAGCGCAUGCAGGCGGGUCGUUAAGUUAGGGGUGAAAUCCCGAGGCUCAACCUCGGAACUGCCUCUGAUACUGGCGACCUUGAGUCCGGGAGAGGUGAGUGGAACUGCGAGUGUAGAGGUGAAAUUCGUAGAUAUUCGCAAGAACACCAGUGGCGAAGGCGGCUCACUGGCCCGGUACUGACGCUCAGGCACGAAAGCGUGGGGAGCAAACAGG
RNAcentral lists this ribosomal RNA (253 nucleotides) under uncultured bacterium. RNAcentral's name for it is "partial 16S ribosomal RNA". It matches the Rfam family "Bacterial small subunit ribosomal RNA", at positions 524 to 776 of the family's 1533-position model. The record is from RNAcentral.